RNAcentral lists this ribosomal RNA (1419 nucleotides) under Triticum aestivum (bread wheat). Its description in RNAcentral is "partial small subunit ribosomal RNA". Lineage: Eukaryota; Viridiplantae; Streptophyta; Magnoliopsida; Poales; Poaceae. The record is from RNAcentral.
AUGUAUAUAAGGAGGCCGGCACAGAGAAGAGGGUUGAAAAAGCCCUUGUGUAUAAAAAAAGCUCCCUCACCAGCGCACCGCCGCCGGUCGGCUCCCUCCCCAGCGCGCCGCCGCCUGGCUCCCUCCCCAGCUCGCCGCUGCCAGGCUCCCUGCCCAGCACGCCACCGGCCCCGGCUCCCUCCCCAGCGCGCCACCGCCAAGCUACCUCCCAGUGCGUCGCCGCCCUAUUCCUUCCCUAGUGUGCCGCCGUCAGGCUUCCUUCCCAGCGCUCUGCCUCCCGUCUUCCUCCCCAGAGGGCCGCUGCCUCCCGGAUCCCUCCCUAGAAGCCACCGCGGUCUGUUCCUGCCGUCGCCGCCCGGACAUCGCCAAGCCCAGGCUGUGCCGCGACACCUCCAUGAAUGCGUGCGGUGCCCCGACUCGAUGGCUUUCGGCCUCCAUCACCGCCGCUCCCCGAACUGCUGUCUGCUGCACGAGCAACACAGUGGGCCGUUCGACUUCCUGCCGCUGGCCGUCCUCCCUGCCGCGGGGCACCUCUCCCCCCUGCACCACCUGUGGCGACCUUCACCUACAAGCUUGGGGCAGAGCUCACCCUUCUCCACAUCCUUUUCCUCUACUAAUUGCAGCCGUUGGCGCCGUGGGUGGCCACAAAUAGAGUUCAGUGUGUAUUUUAAGAAGAAAAACCAACAAUGGCGGCUGCACUGGAGCCACAGGACUACUAUUACUGAUAGGAAAGGAAAAAAAUCCCUCACACCAAAUCUGGAUCGGGUCAAUCAAACCCCGACCCCGAGCGCCAUCAUCUACCACCUUCCCCGGUCGCCGCACCUCCGGCCACCAUCUCCCGACCGCCGCGCCUCCGCCCAUCUUCCCCGGCCACCGCGCCCCCGACCAUCUUCCCCCGGCCGCCGCGCCUCCGGCUACCCUCCUCGGCCACCGCGCCUCCGGCCUCCUCCCUCCACCGUGCCGCGCCUCCGUCCACCUCCCUCCGUCGACGCCGCGCCUCCGGCCACCUUCCCCCAGUCGUCGCUCCUCCGGCCUCCUUCCCUCCACCAGCGUCGCUCCUCCAGCCACCUCCCUCCACCACCACCCCUCGGGCCACCUUCCUCUGCCACCAUUCAGCCUCCGGCCACCUCCCUCCGCCACCAUUCAGCCUUCGGCCACCUCCCUCCGCCACCACCCGCCUCGAGCCACUUCCCUCCUGGCUGCACGCCCCGCGAAGAAGACCCGCCGUUCGCCACCUACUGCUGGCCCAGCUCCUGGAGCCACUACAUCAGCGCACGCAUGUUCAGUUUCGGUUUGAGUUCAACUUCUGCUGUCUGUCCUUUUUUGCGUAUGUUCAGUUCGAUAUCUGGUGGUUCUUCAGACCAACAUAGUGUGCCUUUUCAAUUCAUCUUGCAGGUGAAAAAAGGAGCUCCCCUUUGA